UUUAGAAACUAAUAUAAAACUAGAUUAGUAUUAGUUAUAUACUUAAAAGUUAAAAAAUUUGGCGGUGAUUUAAUCUUUUCAGAGGAAUUUGUUUUUUAAUCGAUAAACCACGAAAAAUCUUACUUAUUUUUGUUUAAUGUAAUUUCAGUUUGUAUACCAUCAUUAUCAGAUAAUUCUAAAAAGAAAAAUUAUUAAAAAUAAAUAAUUAUUUAAAUUAGAUCAAGGUGCAGCUAAUAAAUAAGGUAAAAUGAAUUACAAUAAAUUGUUUUAUAAUGGAUUAAUAAAAUAAUUUUUAUUAUAAAGGAGGAUUUGAUAGUAUUAUAAUUUUAAUAAGUUUAUAAGAUAAUAGCUCUAAAUCAUGUACAUAUCGCCCGUCGCUUUCAUUUAUAAAUGAAAUAAGUCGUAACAUA
This 410-nucleotide ribosomal RNA is filed under the name Armases elegans. Its description in RNAcentral is "partial 12S ribosomal RNA". The record is from RNAcentral. Lineage: Eukaryota; Metazoa; Arthropoda; Malacostraca; Decapoda; Sesarmidae.